Molecule: ribosomal RNA, 253 nt
Filed under: uncultured bacterium
Lineage: Bacteria
Description: partial 16S ribosomal RNA
Rfam family: Bacterial small subunit ribosomal RNA
Source: RNAcentral
UACGUAGGGUGCGAGCGUUAAUCGGAAUUACUGGGCGUAAAGUGUGCGCAGGCGGCCGCGCAAGUCGAGUGUGAAAGCCCCAGGCUUAACUUGGGAAUUGCGCUCGAAACUACGUGGCUGGAGUGUGGCAGAGGAAGGUGGAAUUCCAGGUGUAGCGGUGAAAUGCGUAGAGAUCUGGAGGAACACCGAUGGCGAAGGCAGCCUUCUGGGCCAACACUGACGCUCAUGCACGAAAGCGUGGGGAGCAAACAGG